UGUCUCCCCCCUCCAAUCAGUGAAACUGAUCUCCCCGUGAAGAAGCGGGGAUAUUAAUAUAAGACGAGAAGACCCCAUGGAGCUUUAAACCCGAUGACACCCAUUUAUUUCUACACCUUGAUAUUCUAUUUGGCUAUGUUCCAUCGGUUUUAGGUUGGGGUGACCACGGAGUAUAACAAAUCCUCCAUGAAAAAAGGAAUAGCAGUCCUUAUUAGAGAACAACACUUCUAAAAAUUAAGAUAUUAAUUUAUAAUGAUCCGAUAUUCGAUCAACGAACCAAGUUACCCUGGGGAUAACAGCGCAAUCCACUUCAAGAGCUCCUAUCGACAAGCGGGUUUA
Molecule: ribosomal RNA, 339 nt
Filed under: Boophis marojezensis
Lineage: Eukaryota; Metazoa; Chordata; Amphibia; Anura; Mantellidae
Description: partial 16S ribosomal RNA
Rfam family: Bacterial large subunit ribosomal RNA
Source: RNAcentral